CUGUAUAAUGAAAUUUCAGGAUCUGCGGAGUCAGGGAAUCCGGUAUAUGCCGGGGCAGCCCCUGCUGCUGUAAUCGGGACGAAACCGCAUUAUGUCAUUGCCGCAAGGUGAGAAGACGCGGAAAACGGCGGAACCAUUGACUAUGAGUUCAAGCCGUUUAUGCGAAAGCGGACAUCAACGCCUUCGUAAAGUAGGAUGAACGAAAGCCAGAAGACCUACCGGGGAUUCGGAGUUAGC
This 237-nucleotide non-coding RNA is filed under the name Cloacibacillus evryensis. Lineage: Bacteria; Thermotogati; Synergistota; Synergistia; Synergistales; Synergistaceae. The record is from RNAcentral.